UGUCUCAGUUCAGCAGGAAG
Molecule: microRNA, 20 nt
Filed under: Bos taurus (domestic cattle)
Lineage: Eukaryota; Metazoa; Chordata; Mammalia; Artiodactyla; Bovidae
Description: bta-miR-11977
Source: miRBase by way of RNAcentral